Micropterus dolomieu (smallmouth bass) is the source of this 463-nucleotide long non-coding RNA. RefSeq lists it as uncharacterized. The record is from RefSeq and is a predicted model, not a curated record. Lineage: Eukaryota; Metazoa; Chordata; Actinopteri; Centrarchiformes; Centrarchidae. The transcript has 3 exons.
AUACAAUUUUUAAAAUCAGAACUGGAGAAAAUACAGCAGAUGCGGGCAUGUUUCAAUACUGUUUGGAUGAGUCACCUGGGCAAGUAGACAGCGGAGAAAUUUUGGCCAUUUUAGUUGCAUGUGUCCAUUAACAGCCAGUUUAAUUUUUUCAGUGCUUCCUUGGCUCCCUACUGAGGAAAGUCUACAUCUGGGGAGUGAGAGUAGUCAUCCUCUGGUUUUAAGAGCUUAUGAGCCGAUAUAGAUUUAGACCCACUUCAGCACAGGUAAAGACUGAGAUGGAAAGCACAUGAAAGGAGCGCUGGAUAAGAGAGAAACAGGGACAAGGAGAGAUAAACAAACAGUGACUACACGGGUCUGUUUGCACAAGAGCCCUCUGAGUCUGUGUGUGCGUCACCAUGGAAACCGCCUGUUAGUACACCUGCCCUCAUAUAGAGGAAGAGUCAGGUGGUCAGGGAAGUUACAG